AUGAAUAUACUUGCCUGGAACUGUCGAGGCUUGGGGUUGGACUCGACAGUUGGCGAACUGCGUGACCUGAUUAGGUCCCACAACCUAGCGGUGGUUUUCUUAAGCGAAACUAAGAAGAGUGCAGGAGCUAUGGAAAAACUAAAAUGGAGUUUGGGAUUCAGAAGUGGAGUAGCGGUGAGCUGUGUGGGCAGAAGUGGUGGGCUAGCUCUUUGGUGGAGAGAACAUGUACAGGUAUCCAUUAGACCAUGGUGCCAAUAUUUUUUGGAUGCUGCAGUGGUGGUUGACGGUAAAACCGUUAGAAUCACUGGAUUCUACGGCGAACCCGACACUGAGAAGAGGAAAAAAUCUUGGGAUGCGUUAAGAUAUCUUCGAUCAUAG
RNAcentral lists this ribosomal RNA (378 nucleotides) under Triticum aestivum (bread wheat). RNAcentral describes it as "partial small subunit ribosomal RNA". The record is from RNAcentral. Lineage: Eukaryota; Viridiplantae; Streptophyta; Magnoliopsida; Poales; Poaceae.